GAUUAUUAAGUUUGUUGGUUGCAUUGGCAGUCGGAUUUUUGGGGAUUGCGCUUAUUGUGAAUGUGAAGAUAAAUCCCAUAUGUUUUGUUUGUCCAUACAGUAUCCUAUUCACAUAUGUCUCUUCACUCAUGUCUAUUUCUCAUGUUUACUUUUUGUACUGCAUUAGGCAUUAUUUAAAAAAAAAAAAAAAAAAAAGGGAGAGAGAGACGGGAUUUUUGUUUAUGUGCCGGUUAAAUUUGAUUUUUUUUGUUGCAACCGGAUCGAUUGGGCUUACUCCUCACAUUUCCACGUUUCUGAUGAAGUUUGGCAAAGUCUGCAGUCUUUGCUAUUUAAUGUUGGAUUUGAUAUCACUAUCCUUUGAUUUUCGCAUUGCAAUUAUCGUGUGGCAUUGAGUUUUUGAGUUUGUGAUUUUGUUUGCAAGUUGUGUAUGGUGACUCUUCUCAC
RNAcentral lists this long non-coding RNA (444 nucleotides) under Erythranthe guttata (spotted monkey flower). RNAcentral describes it as "long non-coding RNA (EGUT_LNC002146)". The record is from RNAcentral. Lineage: Eukaryota; Viridiplantae; Streptophyta; Magnoliopsida; Lamiales; Phrymaceae.